RNAcentral lists this ribosomal RNA (464 nucleotides) under uncultured bacterium. RNAcentral's name for it is "partial 16S ribosomal RNA". It matches the Rfam family "Bacterial small subunit ribosomal RNA", at positions 338 to 795 of the family's 1533-position model. The record is from RNAcentral.
CCUACGGGUGGCAGCAGUAGGGAAUUUUCGGCAAUGGGGGGAACCCUGACCGAGCAACGCCGCGUGAGGGAAGAAGGAAUUCGUUCUGUAAACUUCUGUUAUAAAGGAAGAAAGACGGAUGGAGGAAAUGACAUCCGAGUGACGGUACUUUAUGAGAAAGCCACGGCUAACUACGUGCCAGCAGCCGCGGUAAUACGUAGGUGGCAAGCGUUAUCCGGAUUUAUUGGGCGUAAAGCGGGAGCAGGCGGCAACAAAGGUCUGUGGGAAAAGAAUGAGGCUAAACUUAGGAAAGCCAUAGAAACUGUGGAGCUGGAGUGCAGAAGAGGAUCGUGGAAUUCCAUGUGUAGCGGUGGAAUGCGUAGAUAUAUGGAGGAACACCAGUGGCGAAGGCGGCGAUCUGGCCUGCAACUGACGCUGAGGCCCGAAAGCGUGGGGAGCAAACAGGAUUAGAUACCCGAGUAGUC